AGAGUUUUUCAUCCCUCUCUCCUAUAUUGUUUGGCAUGUGAGUGAAGGGUCUGGACAUCUGGAUCUUGCAAAGCAACGAUCUUCAGGAAUCAAUCAACCUUGAUCAAUUUUUCAUUGCACAUCGAGAUAACUUUUAUAAGAGUUAUAAAAAAUUUAAAUUAUAAUAUAUUCUUCCCUCCUGGCAUCCGAUCUGAUAGGAUAAAUUUUUCUUUCACUAUUACCAGGACGAUAGCAUUUAUCACAUACAGGUCGUUGUGUACCAUAUGGGUUGGUUGUCUUUGUAACCAAGGAGUGUGAAGAUACUGGUAUAGUAUACAAGUAAAAUAUAGGAGUACAUUUAUACUAAAUAUGAUCAAACUAUAGAGUACUCUAUGGUCAAGAG
RNAcentral lists this long non-coding RNA (382 nucleotides) under Elaeis guineensis (African oil palm). RNAcentral describes it as "long non-coding RNA (EGUI_LNC022953)". Lineage: Eukaryota; Viridiplantae; Streptophyta; Magnoliopsida; Arecales; Arecaceae. The record is from RNAcentral.